Molecule: ribosomal RNA, 254 nt
Filed under: uncultured bacterium
Lineage: Bacteria
Description: partial 16S ribosomal RNA
Rfam family: Bacterial small subunit ribosomal RNA
Source: RNAcentral
UACGUAGGGUGCGAGCGUUGUCCGGAAUUAUUGGGCGUAAAGAGCUCGUAGGCGGUGUGUCACGUCGUUCGUGAAAACCUGCAGCUUAACUGUGGGCGUGCGGUCGAUACGGGCAUCACUGGAGUUCGGCAGGGGAGACUGGAAUUUACGGUGUAGCGGUGAAAUGCGUAGAUAUCGUAAGGAAGACCAGUGGCGAAGGCGGGUCUCUGGACAGUUCCUGACGCUGAGGCACGAAGGCCAGGGGAGCAAACGGG